Molecule: ribosomal RNA, 1435 nt
Filed under: Staphylococcus roterodami
Lineage: Bacteria; Bacillati; Bacillota; Bacilli; Caryophanales; Staphylococcaceae
Description: bacterial SSU rRNA
Rfam family: Bacterial small subunit ribosomal RNA
Source: RNAcentral
CGUGCUAUACAUGCAGUCGAGCGAACGGACGAGAAGCUUGCUUCUCUGAUGUUAGCGGCGGACGGGUGAGUAACACGUGGAUAACCUACCUAUAAGACUGGGAUAACUUCGGGAAACCGGAGCUAAUACCGGAUAAUAUUUUGAACCGCAUGGUUCAAAAGUGAAAGACGGUCUUGCUGUCACUUAUAGAUGGAUCCGCGCUGCAUUAGCUAGUUGGUAAGGUAACGGCUUACCAAGGCAACGAUGCAUAGCCGACCUGAGAGGGUGAUCGGCCACACUGGAACUGAGACACGGUCCAGACUCCUACGGGAGGCAGCAGUAGGGAAUCUUCCGCAAUGGGCGAAAGCCUGACGGAGCAACGCCGCGUGAGUGAUGAAGGUCUUCGGAUCGUAAAACUCUGUUAUUAGGGAAGAACAUAUGUGUAAGUAACUGUGCACAUCUUGACGGUACCUAAUCAGAAAGCCACGGCUAACUACGUGCCAGCAGCCGCGGUAAUACGUAGGUGGCAAGCGUUAUCCGGAAUUAUUGGGCGUAAAGCGCGCGUAGGCGGUUUUUUAAGUCUGAUGUGAAAGCCCACGGCUCAACCGUGGAGGGUCAUUGGAAACUGGAAAACUUGAGUGCAGAAGAGGAAAGUGGAAUUCCAUGUGUAGCGGUGAAAUGCGCAGAGAUAUGGAGGAACACCAGUGGCGAAGGCGACUUUCUGGUCUGUAACUGACGCUGAUGUGCGAAAGCGUGGGGAUCAAACAGGAUUAGAUACCCUGGUAGUCCACGCCGUAAACGAUGAGUGCUAAGUGUUAGGGGGUUUCCGCCCCUUAGUGCUGCAGCUAACGCAUUAAGCACUCCGCCUGGGGAGUACGACCGCAAGGUUGAAACUCAAAGGAAUUGACGGGGACCCGCACAAGCGGUGGAGCAUGUGGUUUAAUUCGAAGCAACGCGAAGAACCUUACCAAAUCUUGACAUCCUUUGACAACUCUAGAGAUAGAGCUUUCCCCUUCGGGGGACAAAGUGACAGGUGGUGCAUGGUUGUCGUCAGCUCGUGUCGUGAGAUGUUGGGUUAAGUCCCGCAACGAGCGCAACCCUUAAGCUUAGUUGCCAUCAUUAAGUUGGGCACUCUAAGUUGACUGCCGGUGACAAACCGGAGGAAGGUGGGGAUGACGUCAAAUCAUCAUGCCCCUUAUGAUUUGGGCUACACACGUGCUACAAUGGACAAUACAAAGGGCAGCGAAACCGCGAGGUCAAGCAAAUCCCAUAAAGUUGUUCUCAGUUCGGAUUGUAGUCUGCAACUCGACUACAUGAAGCUGGAAUCGCUAGUAAUCGUAGAUCAGCAUGCUACGGUGAAUACGUUCCCGGGUCUUGUACACACCGCCCGUCACACCACGAGAGUUUGUAACACCCGAAGCCGGUGGAGUAACCUUUUAGGAGCUAGCCGUCGAAG